UGGCAGUGGAGGUGGUGGUAUCUCUCCCUGGAGAUCCCUGCUUCCCUGAGGCCUUCUAAAGGGUGCGUGCAAAAACUCUGGAGGAAGGUUAAUCCAACCAGAUGUACCCUUGGUGCCUCCAGGGAAGGAGUGAAGGAGGGAGGACGAAGACUUGGAGAUCUCAUUUGGAAUAGUGUCACUGCAUUGUGGUGCAAGCCGACGCCUCAGGGAGAGGAAUAUACCUGAUUAUCAAAACCUUCUGCAGAUGCCUUGGGUAUGGGUGAAGAAUGAAGUAUAGGAUGCUGGUACUGCGUUGUGACUGUUGAGAGGAGUGACCCACCUAGUAAACUGCAGUAGGAAUGAGUAAUGUAAAUCUUCUGUCAGACUAUUACUGUAUUAAUAAAUAAAUGGAUUCGCUCUUCUUCAUCACCUUAUAACUCUUUGUCCCUUAAAUUAUCCUUAAUUAAAAAUGAGGUUGCCUCUGACAGAAAACUAAACAGUGAAGGCACAGAUAUUUGUUUGAAUUUUUGUUUUUUCUUUCCUUUCAGUUCCCAUUCAGUAUUGUCAGGGCAGUGAUUUUCUCCCAAGCAACACUUAGGCAAAUGCAUAUGUUUGCAUUUAAUUUCCAGAUGGGGAGGCAGGCUUCUAAUAACAGUGCAGUUUGCUGCUUUAUAGAUCUGGAUGACUGGCUGACCUGCCUUUUGCAGAUUGCCAGGCAACUCUGCCCUGUAGCCUGGGAUGCCAACGCGCUCCUGGCUGAGCCAGGCUUUUUGAAUUUCAAGCAAGAAAUGAUUUACCUGUCCGGACUGCACAAAGGUUCAACAGUUCUAUACGUAUGUGAGACUGGCUUGCUUCUCAGUUUGGGAUCUUAUGAACUGCUUUACUUUUUGGAAUGAUUGCUCUUU
Long non-coding RNA from Numida meleagris (helmeted guineafowl), 884 nucleotides. RefSeq lists it as uncharacterized. The transcript has 3 exons. NCBI's taxonomy places the organism in Eukaryota, Metazoa, Chordata, Aves, Galliformes, Numididae. The record is from RefSeq and is a predicted model, not a curated record.